Molecule: long non-coding RNA, 1100 nt
Filed under: Junco hyemalis (dark-eyed junco)
Lineage: Eukaryota; Metazoa; Chordata; Aves; Passeriformes; Passerellidae
Description: lncRNA (ENSJHYG00000013447.1)
Source: RNAcentral
GGUCUCUUUCUCCAGGCAGAAACUGACAGAACCAGAGGACAGUCUUAAGCUGGGUCAAGGGAAAUACAGGUUGGAUACUAGGAAAAAGAUUUUACAGAUAGGGUGAUAAAGUUCUGGAAUGGUCUGCCCAGGAAAGUGGUGGAGUCACCAUGCCUGGAUGUGUUUAAAAAAAGACUGGACGUGGCACUGGGUGCCAUGGUUUAGUUGAGGUAUUAGGGCAUGUGUUGGACUCAAUCAUCUUGAAGGUCUCUUCCAACCCAGUGAUUCUGUGAUUCUCAACCAGUUCAUCUCUGUUUGUGAAAAUCAGAUCCUGAAGAGCAUCUCUUCUCUUCACCUUCUCAGUCAGCUGCAUCAGAAUUAUUAUUAUUAUUAUUAUUGUUGUUGUUGUUGUUGUUGUUGUUAACUUUGUAAUCCUAUUUUUGCAUUAUUGUCCAUCAAUGCACUCUAGAGGUCUCUUGGAUUGCUCUUUCUAGCUGUAUCCAGGCAUUGCAGCACUCCAGCUGUGUGAGAGUAAUUUGCCUCUUAAUCAGAGAUUUCAAAAAUCAGGCUUCAUCUGCUGAAGAAUUCAAAGAAAUCACUCGGAACAAGGGUCAUCCCAAAACAAAAGCAAUUCAAGCAGCCUAUCUGAGAGGAAGAGGAGGAAGGAAGAAGGAAGGAGACUUAUUUCAUCUUCUGCACUGCAGAUCGUUUUUACAUCAUCCCAGAUUAUGCAAUAUACCAUGGCAGGGACUGUGAAGCAUGAGUUCAUGGAGAAAGGGCACUUUCAUUAGCACUGCUGCAGUGUGUGCUCUCAGAUGUCUGAGGUGGAAAGGUCACAGCCACAGACUUCACAGCACCUCUGUCUGGCCUGUCUACACCCACCCCUGCUUAUCCAGAGUUAUGAGGAAGAGAGGUUAAAUGCUUUCAUAUGAGGUGUGUGUUUAUCCUGGUGGCAUGCAAAGAAGAAUCCCGUUAAAUUAAGUAGCUCCUUUCUUAAGAAUGGCAAUUACUGUGAAGCACAGAUUAAAGUAAGAUUCCAUGAAUUAGGGAUCUGAUUUCAUUUGGCAGUGAUGUUUUACAAUGUGUAGUGUCAAACACUAUAUAAUGUCAAUGAUAAAGAG